This is a long non-coding RNA of Oncorhynchus keta (chum salmon), 2804 nucleotides long. RefSeq lists it as uncharacterized. The transcript is spliced from 2 exons. NCBI's taxonomy places the organism in Eukaryota, Metazoa, Chordata, Actinopteri, Salmoniformes, Salmonidae. The record is from RefSeq and is a predicted model, not a curated record.
CAUCGCGUCAGGUGGUCACAUGAGUUUAGCUCGCAACAGAGUUUGGACAGCUAUUGUUUUUCCCUCUCCUACUGAUAAAGACAAUGCGGUUGAUAUAUUAUCGAUUAUAUAUUUUAAAAACAACCUGAGGAUUGAUUAUAAAAAGCAUUUGACUUUUUCUGUGGACAUUACGGAUAUUAUUUGGUAUUUGUCUGCGUUGUCAUGACCGCUCUUUCCUGUGGAUUUCUGAACAUAAUGCGCCAAACAAACGGAGGUAUUUUGGAUAUAAAAAUAAUCUUUAUGGAACAAAAGGAACAUUUGUUGUGUAACUGGGAGUCUUGUGAGUGAAAACAUCCGAAGAUCAUCAAAGCACCAACCGUGUCCCACACACAUCCGGCCUCUCCUCACACUCCUCUGGGUCACUGCAGAGGGGCUGGCCUGGGCCCAAAACUCCUCUCUGACCAGGACGGUGUUUCCUCCUGCACUCCUCCCACCCUCAGUCCUCCACAGCAGCACCAGUCUCAGCUCAGACACACUGGGAGACACUGGGGAGUCUGGACUGCUGCUGUCUCCUCCCACUGGAACACAACACACAGCACUGCUCAACACAUUGACUGGAGGUUGGACCACUUUUAUUUUUUGUUGUUGCAAGAUUGUAUUUUAUAUUUUAUAAACAAUACAGCACAUACACAUACAAAUGACAACAUCAUACAAACAUCAACCACAUCACCCACCCCUAUCUCCAGAACCCAUUUUUUGUUUCUCUCCGCACGCACUUUCAAUGUUUAAUACGAAAUCAUUCGAUUUUCCAAUUGUGUCAAUGACGGCGGAUUGAUUGACUUGCCAGUUUUUAGUACACGUUUUGUCAAGAUGAGUGAGAGAGAAGUGUAGAGAAGUGUAUUGUUCAGGCCAUUGUGUAUCUCACUACACCCUCAUAUGCAAUGUCUUGAAAAAUGCAGACAUGCGGAACUUUCUAGUUCUGCCCACAAAUUCUGGAUUUUAUAGCAUUCCCAAAAAGAAUUGAUUAUUGAGUCAUUGUUCGUUUUACACUGCUGUUGUGCUGUCAAAUUUGUGAAUUUUGUCUCUUGUAUAAUAAAUGAUAUACAUGACUUUAUACUGGAAUAAGUGUACAUUUUCAUGAACUGUCAUUUAAUUAGUUUACGCUCCAACUUUCCCUCCAUCUUGUGCCAACAUCAGUUAUUUUCAAGUCUUGGUUCCAAUAGUUUAUAUUUUUUUCUAAGAGAUUGUCAGUUGGAUAUUCUCUCUGCAAGGUUUUUUUUUAUAUCUUCCCUGUCAUAUGAACAAAAUGUUCUGACUCAAAUAGGAUUCCCUCAAGGUUGCUCUGAUGUCCAAAAGAUUUUAAAUCAACAUUUUGUGAUAUGCAACUUUUAAGUUGCAUGUAUUUGAAACUAUCUACAUUGGUCAGUCCAAAAUCACUUUUUAACUCUGUCAUGGAAAUAAAUGUAUUUUCUGUUACCAAGUAAUUCACGGUUUCUAUUCCUUUAGUUUUCCACGUAGACCGACUUAUCAGUGUAUUCUGAAAUUCUAUACAAGGAUCGUUCCAUAAUGUUGUGGUUUUAGGGUUGGACCACUUUAAAACACACAGUAAGCGUCAUCCACAUAAUUAUGUACGUAUUGUUGUCAAAGAUAUGUGUAGGAAAAGCGUGAGAUAAUCAGCAACAUUCAGUCCAGUUUAUUGCCAUCAGAUAAUAAAGUCUGAUUGGUUCUUGAGGCUUGGCUCUGAACAUUCUAGUUCCAAAGAUCAGUGACAAUGACAAAAUCACCAACUCAAACUGAGGAUCAACUUUGAUCAUAGAUCACAUGACAUACUUUACUGUUUGUUACCUGCUGGCAAUAAACUUUACUGCAUGUUGGUGAUUCUGAUGCCAGUAACCCCUCCAGCUCACUCCUGCUAGAUUAACCCCGUCAGCCCAGCCAUUCAGUCCAGCAAACCUCUGGUUACUGGCCCACCACUCUAAUCUUGAUGUUAUACCACCCCCUAGUGCCACUCCCUGUAGAUAAGAAGCCUUUUUCUGUAUUUAUUUUACAUGGAUUUAUUGAUGUACAGUACGUUUUACUAACUUCAUAAGUACUGUUCAAGUAACAAGCAUUGAACAAUAAACAUGUGCAUCACUCAUCCUUCCUUCACUGUAGAGAUAUGUUUCAAGUUUAAACAUGAAACAUACAGUCUGUGCACUUGGAUUGAUUAAAACAUAUCAAUAUUGUGGGGUGAGUACAGUGUCGUUCUCUCUCUGCCCAAUAGUAAACCUUCUCCAACACUGAGUAAAAGUCUCCCUCGUCUUUAGAGUUCUCCGUCUCUGACUCUCCCAGGUCGUCCAGCCUACCUGACACAACACCCCUAACAAGCCUAUCCAUCCUAAAAGUGUGCAGGGCAAGGUCACUAAUCUACCUUGGUUUGGAAUUUUGUUCUAAAUUUCAUCUAAAUUGCAGACGUCCCUCCCCCUCCUUCUCUAGACCCAGUAGACAGGACCAGACGCUGACCGGUGUUCACCAUGACACACACCACAGUUCAGUGGACAGUAGAUCUGAUCUGGUUCAACACAUGAAGCCAACUUGAUGAGUUUCUCCUGACCCAGCCCAACAUAACUCACUAAGUGGAGGUCCCUACAUGCUCUUUCUUCUCUUCAGUGGAGGUUUGGGGUCACUUCUCCCACUGCAACAUACCACAGGACACUGGUCAACAUAUUGACUCAUCAGAGACCCAUUUAAGACGGUUGUUAAAUAAUGUUGGAUCUUAUUUGGUGUCAACAUCAGACAUCAUCUAAGAAUUUUUCCUCAACAGAGAAUAAACAUUAUCUUUCAGA